GACGAACGCUGGCGGCGUGCCUAAUACAUGCAAGUCGAACGCAGUGGGGACGGGUGAGUAACACGUGGGUAACCUCCCAUCAGAGGAGAUAACCAUUGGAAAAAGGUGCUAAACCGGAAAUGAUGGAUGGACCCGCGGUGAAUUAGCUAGUUGGUGAGGUAACGGCUCACCAAGGCCACGUUGCAUAGCCGCCCUGAUAGGGUGAUCGGCCACACUGGGACUGAGACACGGCCCACACUCCUACGGUAGGCAGCAGUAGGGAAUCUUCGGAAAUGGACGAAAGUCUGACCGAGCAACGCCGCGGUAGUGAAGAAGGUUUGCGGAUCGUAAAACUCUGUUGUUAGAGAAGCGGUAUCUAACCAGAAAGCCACGGCUAACUACGUGCCAGCCGCCGCGGUAAUA
This 402-nucleotide ribosomal RNA is filed under the name uncultured bacterium. Its description in RNAcentral is "partial 16S ribosomal RNA". It matches the Rfam family "Bacterial small subunit ribosomal RNA", at positions 28 to 525 of the family's 1533-position model. The record is from RNAcentral.